UAACACAUGCAAGUCGAGGGGCAGCAUGGUCUUUUCUUGCUAAGGCCGAUGGCGACCGGCGCACGGGUGAGUAACACGUAUCCAACCUGCCGUCUACUCUUGGACAGCCUUCUGAAAGGAAGAUUAAUACAAGAUGGCAUCAUGAGUCCGCAUGUUCACAUGAUUAAAGGUAUUCCGGUAGACGAUGGGGAUGCGUUCCAUUAGAUAGUAGGCGGGGUAACGGCCCACCUAGUCUUCGAUGGAUAGGGGUUCUGAGAGGAAGGUCCCCCACAUUGGAACUGAGACACGGUCCAAACUCCUACGGGAGGCAGCAGUGAGGAAUAUUGGUCAAUGGGCGAGAGCCUGAACCAGCCAAGUAGCGUGAAGGAUGACUGCCCUAUGGGUUGUAAACUUCUUUUAUAAAGGAAUAAAGUCGGGUAUGGAUACCCGUUUGCAUGUACUUUAUGAAUAAGGAUCGGCUAACUCCGUGCCAGCAGCCGCGGUAAUACGGAGGAUCCGAGCGUUAUCCGGAUUUAUUGGGUUUAAAGGGAGCGUAGAUGGAUGUUUAAGUCAGUUGUGAAAGUUUGCGGCUCAACCGUAAAAUUGCAGUUGAUACUGGAUAUCUUGAGUGCAGUUGAGGCAGGCGGAAUUCGUGGUGUAGCGGUGAAAUGCUUAGAUAUCACGAAGAACUCCGAUUGCGAAGGCAGCCUGCUAAGCUGCAACUGACAUUGAGGCUCGAAAGUGUGGGUAUCAAACAGGAUUAGAUACCCUGGUAGUCCACACGGUAAACGAUGAAUACUCGCUGUUUGCGAUAUACAGCAAGCGGCCAAGCGAAAGCGUUAAGUAUUCCACCUGGGGAGUACGCCGGCAACGGUGAAACUCAAAGGAAUUGACGGGGGCCCGCACAAGCGGAGGAACAUGUGGUUUAAUUCGAUGAUACGCGAGGAACCUUACCCGGGCUUAAAUUGCAGAUGAAUUACGGUGAAAGCCGUAAGCCGCAAGGCAUCUGUGAAGGUGCUGCAUGGUUGUCGUCAGCUCGUGCCGUGAGGUGUCGGCUUAAGUGCCAUAACGAGCGCAACCCUUGUUGUCAGUUACUAACAGGUUCCGCUGAGGACUCUGACAAGACUGCCAUCGUAAGAUGUGAGGAAGGUGGGGAUGACGUCAAAUCAGCACGGCCCUUACGUCCGGGGCUACACACGUGUUACAAUGGGGGGUACAGAGGGCCGCUACCACGCGAGUGGAUGCCAAUCCCCAAAACCUCUCUCAGUUCGGACUGGAGUCUGCAACCCGACUCCACGAAGCUGGAUUCGCUAGUAAUCGCGCAUCAGCCACGGCGCGGUGAAUACGUUCCCGGGCCUUGUACACACCGCCCGUCAAGCCAUGGGAGCCGGGGGUACCUGAAGUGCGUAACCGCGAGGAGCGCCCUAGGGUAAAACUGGUGACUGGGGCUAAAU
RNAcentral lists this ribosomal RNA (1433 nucleotides) under uncultured organism. Its description in RNAcentral is "SSU rRNA". It matches the Rfam family "Bacterial small subunit ribosomal RNA". The record is from RNAcentral.